Long non-coding RNA from Manacus vitellinus (golden-collared manakin), 4527 nucleotides. RefSeq lists it as uncharacterized. The transcript has 5 exons. NCBI's taxonomy places the organism in Eukaryota, Metazoa, Chordata, Aves, Passeriformes, Pipridae. The record is from RefSeq and is a predicted model, not a curated record.
AGCAGCAGUGAUGCCGAGAAGACAGACAACAGUUAUGGUGCCUAUGAUUCUGAUGUCAUUGGACUCAUCUACUAUCAGAGUAUCACUCUCCUGAAAGCAGUGAGAAAUGUUAAUAGAACCAGUGUUUCUCUGCCCAACUGGUGGGAUCAAGUAACAAGCAAAAUCAUUUACUCGUCUUCCAAGGAGUGGCUGAAAUGUGAGAAGUGUUAUAAAGAAGGCAUUAAACUGAAGGCAUCCACUGAUGUGCAUCAGUAUUUAAAAUGAGAGGAAGAGGUGUCUCCAUGCUCAGUUUGUUGAAGGAUGUCCAACCUGGAAUGCUCUGAAUAGAAAAGACCAGCUGAAAGCCGUGCUCUCUCCAUUAGCCAUUCUCUCCACUGAGCCAGUGCUCACAGCGAUGUUCUGGAGAAUCACACAGAAAACAAACACGGUUUUGUGCAAAGCAGAGGACACCUGGCUGCAUAAGAGACACAGGAGAAAGGAAUUCCAAAGAAGAUCAGGUUUUACUGCCUCUGGAGUAGAGAGCAAUAUUCUGCUUACACCAGGCAUCAGCAGAAUGGUUUAGUCUUCAUCUCUCCUGGGGCUAAAGAUGAUGAGCUCAUCAAGUCUCCGUAACAAGUGUGGAGAAUAGCCAAGAGGAAGAAAGAAUAAGCUCUGCAGACCGAAGUGAUUUGCCCAAGGUCACCAAGGGAGACCCAGGACAGCCAGGCACAGACUCCAGCCCUGCUAAUGGUGCCUCGUUUGUUCCAGGGCUGUGCUCAGUGGCUCCCACACCAGGGCCACAACUCACAUAAGGGCACAGCAGGUUGCCAGUGUAACAAAAAUCCCAUUACCUCUGACAUUCACCUUCCUGUUUUGAAAGGCAUAAGAUUAUCCUUCUGUAAGCUGAAUACUGGAAAAAGUAUGGAAAUGGCCAAGCUAGAUGAUGCUCUUUUCCCUAAAAGUCCCAACCUGUGAAGCAAUUCUCCCUUCAUUUUAUUCCGUGAUAUCAUCUGCCUUCUUUUUAACCUUCUCUAAGUGAAAGCCUUAAAAAAACCUAAACAAAGUUAUCUCAUUUUGUUUCAAAUAUACAAACCUUUGAGAGAUGCAGCAGUAAAAACCAUGGAAUUUUCUGGUUAUGAUCAAAACUGAAAAUUCCUUAAUAUGCUUAUGUUCAGUACCUUAUCAUUCAGCAUUAUGUUCAAAGCUAAGACACUAUUUUACUCCUCUCUGGCCACUACUGAAGUAAAUUAUUUCUAUAAGAGGAAGUUUUCUUCUGGGCAUAGAAAUGGGUUUAGUCUCUUGAGCAGCAGUUGUACAUCUGCAAACGAAUACAGAUACCAAAUUCAUAUUUUUUCCCUUUUAUAUCCACUUUGCAUUUGUCUUUGGAAAUGCUUCUCCUUUCCAUGUAAGCCAUUUUACACAGGUCUGUGGAGACCUUAAUUUAGGUAAGUUAGGCCAAGGCUAGGAAGCUGCCCUAAUAAGAUCCUAAAGAAUUGGGUCCUAAUUUGCUAAUGGCUAUUUUUUUUCUUGAUUUCAUUAUUUUAUAUUACCCUCCUUAGGACAGGUGAAUCUGCAGAGAGUGGAAGUCUGAACAAGAUCUGGACCAGCAUCCAAAAAUCAGAUGCUUGUCCAAAUUAUUCAGACCUUAGAAGUAUCUAAAACUGAGUGGAAUGGGGAUGAGAGCUUGUUUUCUCUCAAAAUUUCUCAUUUCACAAUUGGCCAACACAGAAAAAAGAAUGGGGAUUUUUGCUGCAUAUUGGCACUUUUAGUCUCAGCUUGACUAUAGCAAUGACCUCUCUCCAGCCCUGCCCUGAUAAGUGCACAAUUAAGAACCUCAAAAAAGGUUUUUGAUUCUGAAAGUAGCUGUAUCCUGUGUCUCUGCUUUUUACAGAGAACUUGGUAUUGUGGCUUAAGGGGGAAGAUAUGGCUUAUGAAGUCAGUAGAGUAACGUGUUAUUCCACUGUUUUGUAGUAGGUCUUUUAGUAGUUUAACUGUUUCAAAGUGUAAUCUAUUUGUUCUUGCCACAGAAGUUCUUAUUACAGCUUUCCAUGCUAUUUGGUUUUUUUUCCACAUAGGGUAAUCAACCCUUAAAAUAUCUAGAUAGGUGACUAGACAGCAAAAUUCACCUGUCUGAGACACUAACACAGAAAUUAGUGAAAAUCUGGUAUUUGAGACUUAAUAUUACCAACUUCUCAAAUUCUUUCCAGUGGAAGUUUUCAACGUGCAAACCCCAGAGGAUCAUACCUGACAAAUGUAUAUUCUUCUGCAAGUAGCCAUGGGGGGGUGACAAAAGUGAGGAUUAUCAUGAUAAAGGGCAUGUUUUGGUAUUUCAUUAUUCACUUACUGUGGUGUAUACGUGGAAAAAGUGGAGCAAACAGGAAGAGUCUGCUAAGGGGAAGGGGUUUUUUUCCCCACAAAAUGCAUAUAUAUCAAUAGUAAAUGCCUACAGUGGGUCCACCAAAAAUAGGUCUCUCCUAAGGAGAGAGGAGAAACAGCUCUACAAAAUCAUUCAAAGGCAGGUUAGACAGUUGUAUUCUGUUUUAUAGUUCUCUCUGUAAGUGUAUUUUACAUGGAUAUAGCCCCAUCUAUUACAUGAGCAAAGUCUAAACAGCUCUUCCAUUGAUAGAUUAGGAGGAAUUUAGCCAAAUCAUUCCUCCAUAAAUGCUUUCUGUGUAGUCAUUCAAGAAGCUCUUCAGAUUCAUUCCAAAUUCAUUGGAAUGAGUGUGAAGGCCUAAAUUCAUUCACUGAAUCAGCACCUGAAAACUCUUGUCUGCUAUCCUUCUUCUGAGCAAACACUCAGCCUCAACACUCUUGUUCUGGAUUCUUUUUUGCAGUUGGAAUGGUUUGUUACAGCAAUAAACAGGGAGUGCUUUGGAUUUCUGGUUGAGAUUGCAUUUGUUGCACAUAAUCUUUUUUAUAACACUUAUAUUUGUUAAUGAGUACAGCGGAGGAAUCUGUCAAAAUUAGUUAUGCAUUGAUGUUAAAUUCAAGUUUAGAAUAAGUGUGAAUUGUGUAGCCUGGUUAAAUUAUGAAUUGACAUUUAUCAUCUGCCAUCCUAACUCUUACAUGGAACAGAAGAGAUUAAGUAGAUCCAUACUUUUAGACAAGAUUAAGCAAUGUUUUUCUGUUAAUCAAGUACCUUAUGACCACCUUUUAAUAAAAAUCUUUGCUUUGAUCAGGAUACAGAGCAGCAAGCAGACGGCAGCUACCAGAGGAAAUAUGGUAAUUACUUGUACUUUUUCUCUUGGGUAAGGUCCAUGAAUCUAAGGACUUUCUCAUAUUAAUAAGCAGAAUUAACAGUCUGGAAAUAGAAUAGAGAAAAAUUGUAUCUUUCCUUUUCACUUACCUUUGCCAGUUGUUCAUGAAUUUCUAAUAAGCUUGGUCUGUUGAGCUUAUUCCCACUGACGCUGCCAGUGUUUCUAUAAUAAUCAAUUUUGGGAACUGGGUCCAUUGUGUUAUGGCCAAAAGUUUGUAGAUAAUACAUUUUAGUGUGAGUAUCAUAGGGAUGUAAACUAGCUUCUGUUUUCUCUGCAUUUUGAAGGAAAUUGUCAUAUAAUUCUCUUUUUCCUGGUCUGUAACUGAUUCUCAGUCUGUUCUGUGUUUCAUCAGUAAAAGAUGUUUCUUCAUAAUGUGGUGGGUCAGAGCCCACAUCCUCUUGGGCUGUUUCGUUGUCGUCAUGGCCUUCAUUAAUUAUGUUAACUUGAAACCGAUUUGCAUUUGGAUCCGAGAAUACAUUUGGUGCAUUGUUCAUGGACAUCUUCAGGGAUGCUGCAGACUCAGGUCACUGAGCCCUUUACUCUUCUGUGGCUGCAGCCAGUUAGUAGCAGCUACAGCAAAGGGUUUACUGCUGUUUCAUAUGAAAUCUUUACUCCUCGAGUAAUGAAGUUCUGAGAAUUUUCUCUUGAAUGUCUAAGCAGGCUUCCUAAUGUUGUCUGCUGUUUUUCUGCUAUAAAAGAUAUAAAUGAAACAUUUCUGUUAUUUUGCAUGGUUAGAUAUAUUUUCCACUAUAAGCUCUCCCUGACCUCACCAAGUAUCCAUAAGACUGUCAUCCUAUGACUUGUUGACUAAAAAAAUAUUUGAGUCAAAGACUGAGUUUGUGGAGAUGUUUCCAUCAGUGACGGACACACUUGACCCCUUAACCAAACCAGCAGUAGUUUGGUACAGGCCUGAGCGCUAAAGGGGCCAAAACCUUCUCUAGUUUCAAUCUGUUUUAUGGAAACCCAGAAAGAAGCAGGGUGACACAGUGAGCAUCCAUGUACAUGGAUCAUGCAAUUGGAACAUGACCAUGCAAUUAAAACGUGGAAAGCAGGGGACUGCCUCCUCUGUAACCUGCUGCUCACCAGGUCCCUUCCAGGAGAGUUGCUCCCUGCACGGUGCAGGCAUUAAAUCUGUCUGAAGUACAGGAUUUCCAUUUGCCCUUGUUGAAUGUCAUGAGAUUCCUGUUGUCCCGUUCCUCUGUCUUGUUCUGGCUCCCUUGGAGUCGCAGCCCACAGAAAAGUGGACAUAUAGCUGUAUAAUCUCCUUCCCACCUCCACUUCCCCACACAGA